AUUUUUACUGAAUGAAUUGCCUUAUGGAUUGGAAUUGCUAAGAAUCAGAAUAAAAGUUGCAUGGAACACAUCACAAAUGUGAAGCUUGUUUCUGAUUCUUUCAUAGAUCACACUGUGUACAAAGACCAAUCUCAGCUGAUGUGGGCAAGAAGAUGGUCUAGAUAUCUCAAAGUAUUCAGCUUCAGUAUCAUCAAAAUGGCAUCACUUCCUGAAAGAGAACAGACUCAUUCGCAUACUGAAAUUAGAGAUGGAUACUGACCCAAAAUCCUGAAUUGGAACAACCCAAACAAGUUCAGAUCCAGAUCUAAACUUUGUGGCCCAGGCCCAUCCCUAAACAGAUACAGGGCACAGUUACAACAGCUGUAACGCUUGACCCCCAAGGACAGCCAGCAAAGGACAAUCUCCAGAAUCCAUCAUGAUCAUCAUUGUCCAGACGAAUCAAGGACUGCAAUUAAGGAAGCAGUGGGGCACAGCAGGGGAUGGCAUGGCCCUGAAGGAAGAUGCAGGAUGGGCUCAGUGUUGGGGCACAAUGGGUGAUGGCCCGGCCCUUGAAAGUAGAGGCGGGCUGGGCUAGCAUGGGAUGGCCUAGUCCUGAAGGAAGAGGUGGGGUGGGUGGCUAUGCUGGGACAGCAGGGGAUGGCCUGGUUCCGUGCAGGAAGAGAUGUGGUGGCCAGGGUCAGCUCCGCCCUCACACCUCUGCACAGGGCUAUCCUGGCCCCAGGCCCAGGCAUGGAGCCCCUGCCUCAUCCCCCGAAGGGAUGGAUGGAGUUCCCUGCCCCAGGUCAUGCUCCUCCAGCUCUCUGACCCCCUUCUGUCAAUUAGAGGGUGGGACUCAGAGGGCGCUAAUGAGCCUAGCUGCUCAUAAGUGGAGAGGGAGCAGUUUCGCUCCUUUCCAUUCUUCCUGUGCCUGGGAAGGAGCAGAAGAGGGUCAAGAGCCCCUUGAAGCCAACCCAACAGCCUCCACUUCAGUGUUUUCUGCAGGUGGGGGGUAUGACUCAAUAAGGUGGGAAGUGUUGAGGCAGGGGGAGUACAGGGCUCACAUUUAGGUUGGGGAGAAUGGGGUUGUGACGGUGCACCCCAUAAGGCUUUAUGGAAAUAUGCUUAUGAAUGUAUAUGUGACAUAACUGGAAUAUGUUUGAUGCUACAUAUGACAUGUAACACAUCUAUGUAAAGGUUAUGAUCUACUGAAUAUAUUCAUCCUAUUUGUAUGCAUGUGUCAUUGUUGUAGUCAAAGUUAUGAAUAUUGGCUGUAUAGUUGCUUGCUUUUAAAUAACCUUAGUAAGGCAUUUGAUCAGCUUCUUUAGAAUGGAAUUUGCAAGUUAAGUGCCCAAUCAAGAAGCAAUUAAUGCACAAUGGAUAUUGGAAAGCUCCAAUCCACAUAAGAAGUCUACAUGAGGACAUUCAAGGUAGCAUGUGGACAAUGGCUGCUGCCUAUAAAAACUGAGUCAUGCAUGAACAUGUGACUUGCCCAUGUGACUCCAAAACUCCAUCUUGGAGCUGGACUUUGCAUAGGAGAGAGGAGGGGUUCUCCACCCACAAGAGAAAGUCUAUUUAAACCCCUGGGAGACCCCUCCAUUUUGUCAUCAGCUGGCUCAAGAGAGAGCCUCUUCACCCCCAUGUAUACCUGAAAGAAACUGGAACAAAGGACAAUAAUUACAUGGGGUGUGAGUGAUUGCUGGACCCAGACUAGAAGGAGACUAGUCUCUAAAAGGAAGCUUAUUGAAACAUCUGAGGGUGAGAUUUUAUCUGUAUUCAGUUUUCUUACUGUACAAGACUUAAACUUGUGUGUUUCAUUUUAUUUUGCUUGGUAAUUCGCUUUGUUCUGUUACUACUUGGAACCACUUAAAUCCUAAUUUCUGUGUUUAAUAAAAUCACUUUUUACUUAU
This is a long non-coding RNA of Caretta caretta (loggerhead turtle), 1886 nucleotides long. RefSeq lists it as uncharacterized. The record is from RefSeq and is a predicted model, not a curated record. NCBI's taxonomy places the organism in Eukaryota, Metazoa, Chordata, Testudines, Cheloniidae.